This 492-nucleotide ribosomal RNA is filed under the name uncultured bacterium. Its description in RNAcentral is "partial 16S ribosomal RNA". It matches the Rfam family "Bacterial small subunit ribosomal RNA", at positions 29 to 507 of the family's 1533-position model. The record is from RNAcentral.
AGUGAACGCUGGCGGUAGGCCUAACACAUGCAAGUCGAACGGCAGCACAGUAAGAGCUUGCUCUUACGGGUGGCGAGUGGCGGACGGGUGAGGAAUACAUCGGAAUCUACUUUUUCGUGGGGGAUAACGUAGGGAAACUUACGCUAAUACCGCAUACGACCUACGGGUGAAAGCAGGGGAUCUUCGGACCUUGCGCGAUUGAAUGAGCCGAUGUCGGAUUAGCUAGUUGGCGGGGUAAAGGCCCACCAAGGCGACGAUCCGUAGCUGGUCUGAGAGGAUGAUCAGCCACACUGGAACUGAGACACGGCCCAGACUACUGCGGGACGGAGCAGUGAGGAACAGUGGACCAUGGGCGCAAGCCUUAUCCAGGCAUACCGCGUGGGUGAAGAAGGCCUUCGGGUUGUAAAGCCCUUUUGUUGGGAAAGAAAAGCAGCAGCUUAAUACCCCGCUGUUCUGACGGUACCCAAAGAAUAAGCACCGGCUAACUUCUUG